Molecule: ribosomal RNA, 576 nt
Filed under: bacterium MS-B-46
Lineage: Bacteria
Description: bacterial SSU rRNA
Rfam family: Bacterial small subunit ribosomal RNA
Source: RNAcentral
GAAGAAAUUCGGAUUAAUACCCCAUACGAUAAGAACUGGCAUCGGUUUUUAUUGAAAGCUCCGGCGGUAUAGGAUGGGCAUGCGUCCCAUUAGCUAGUUGGUGAGGUAACGGCUCACCAAGGCGACGAUGGGUAGGGGGCCUGAGAGGGUGAUCCCCCACACUGGAACUGAGACACGGUCCAGACUCCUACGGGAGGCAGCAGUAAGGAAUAUUGGUCAAUGGGCGCAAGCCUGAACCAGCCAUGCCGCGUGCAGGAAGACUGCCAUUAUGGUUGUAAACUGCUUUUAUAUGGGAAGAAACCCCCGGACGUGUCCGGGGCUGACGGUACCAUGUGAAUAAGGAUCGGCUAACUCCGUGCCAGCAGCCGCGGUAAUACGGAGGAUCCAAGCGUUAUCCGGAUUUAUUGGGUUUAAAGGGUGCGUAGGCGGCGUGUUAAGUCAGAGGUGAAAUUCGGCAGCUCAACUGUCAAAUUGCCUUUGAUACUGGCAUGCUUGAAUGCGAUUGAGGUAGGCGGAAUGUGACAUGUAGCGGUGAAAUGCUUAGAUAUGUGACAGAACACCGAUUGCGAAGGCAGC